RNAcentral lists this ribosomal RNA (499 nucleotides) under uncultured bacterium. Its description in RNAcentral is "partial 16S ribosomal RNA". It matches the Rfam family "Bacterial small subunit ribosomal RNA", at positions 30 to 523 of the family's 1533-position model. The record is from RNAcentral.
AUUGAACGCUGGCGGAAUGCUUUACACAUGCAAGUCGAACGGCAGCACGGACUUCGGUCUGGUGGCGAGUGGCGAACGGGUGAGUAAUGUAUCGGAACGUGCCAGUCGUGGGGGAUAACGUAGUGAAAAUUACGCUAAUACCGCAUACGAUCUAUGGAUGAAAGCGGGGGAUCGCAAGCCCUCGCGCGCUUGGACCGGCGGAUAUCAGAUUAGGUAGUUGGUGGGGUAAAGGCCCACCAAGCCAACGAUCUGUAGCUGGUCUGAGAGGACGACCAGCCACACUGGAACUGAGACACGGUCCAGACUCCUACGGGAGGCAGCAGUGGGGAAUUUUGGACAAUGGGCGAAAGCCUGAUCCAGCCAUUCCGCGUGCAGGAUGAAGGCCCUCGGGUUGUAAACUGCUUUUGUACAGAACGAAAAGGUUUCUACUAAUACUAGGAGCUCAUGACGGUACUGUAAGAAUAAGCACCGGCUAACUACGUGCCAGCCGCCGCGGUAA